CAUUUUCCCGAGCUUAGGGCCAGGCUGAUCUUGUCGGAUUCUCUUCGUCGACGGUAGAGGCUUCGGGCAUCAAGGUAUUAAGUGGCUUGCUGUGAAGGGCUAGAUCACAAUUCCAGUGGUUGUUCUUCAUUUGGGAACCAUUAGCUCUGUGAGAGCUCGGAUCUGUGAAUCAGCAACAUUGGGCAGCAUCAGUGUGUUAG
Molecule: long non-coding RNA, 200 nt
Organism: Zingiber officinale
Lineage: Eukaryota; Viridiplantae; Streptophyta; Magnoliopsida; Zingiberales; Zingiberaceae
Exons: 3
Source: RefSeq, a predicted model, not a curated record